GAUGAACGCUGGCGGCGUGCCUAAUACAUGCGAGUCGAGCGAACGGACGAGAAGCUUGCUUCUCUGAUGUUAGCGGCGGACGGGUGAGUAACACGUGGAUAACCUACCUAUAAGACUGGGAUAACUUCGGGAAACCGGAGCUAAUACCGGAUGAUAUUUUGAACCGCAUGGUUCAAAAGUGAAAGACGGUCUUGCUUUCACUUAUAGAUGGAUCCGCGCUGCAUUAGCUAGUUGGUAAGGUAACGGCUUACCAAGGCAACGAUGCAUAGCCGACCUGAGAGGGUGCUCAGCCACACUGGAACUGAGACACGGUCCAGGCUCCUACGGGAGGCAGCAGUAGGGACUCUUCCGCAAUGGGCGAAAGCCUGACGGAGCAACGCCGCGUGAGUGAUGAAGGUCGUCGGAUCGUAAAACUCUGUUAUUAGGGAAGAACAUAUGUGUAAGUAACUGUGCACAUCUUGACGGUACCUAAUCAGAAAGCGACGGCUAACUACGUG
This 497-nucleotide ribosomal RNA is filed under the name uncultured bacterium. RNAcentral's name for it is "partial 16S ribosomal RNA". It matches the Rfam family "Bacterial small subunit ribosomal RNA", at positions 28 to 507 of the family's 1533-position model. The record is from RNAcentral.